RNAcentral lists this long non-coding RNA (283 nucleotides) under Nicotiana benthamiana. RNAcentral describes it as "long non-coding RNA (NBEN_LNC030070)". The record is from RNAcentral. Lineage: Eukaryota; Viridiplantae; Streptophyta; Magnoliopsida; Solanales; Solanaceae.
GCCUUGAAAAUGAUCAAUCUAAACAAAAGAGUCAAAGGUCUGACUCGAAUGGACAUGGCUGGCCAAAGAAAGGUCAGAUAUGACUGGAGAAUAAUCAUCGAACAAAAGACUGGACCAAGCGCCUUCAGAAUUCGGUCAUAAGACCACAACAACAAGCACACAGAAGCCAUGAGAGGCUGAUACAGGUCUUGGAUGACCAUAGAAAGCCGUAGAUUAGGGUGGCGGUGGCUAGCGUUUGAUGUUGUUGUAGAGAGGAUUUGAGAGAGGAGGGGAAUUUAGAGGC